CGGGCGCGUAGCUCAGGGGUAGAGCACUGUGUUCACACCGCAGGGGUCGCAGGUUCAAAUCCUGCGCGCCCACC
RNAcentral lists this transfer RNA (74 nucleotides) under Iodidimonas gelatinilytica. RNAcentral's name for it is "tRNA-Val". It matches the Rfam family "tRNA". Rfam says of the family: Transfer RNA (tRNA) molecules are approximately 80 nucleotides in length. Their secondary structure includes four short double-helical elements and three loops (D, anti-codon, and T loops). Further hydrogen bonds mediate the characteristic L-shaped molecular structure. tRNAs have two regions of fundamental functional importance: the anti-codon, which is responsible for specific mRNA codon recognition, and the 3' end, to which the tRNAs corresponding amino acid is attached (by aminoacyl-tRNA synthetases). tRNAs cope with the degeneracy of the genetic code in two manners: having more than one tRNA (with a specific anti-codon) for a particular amino acid; and 'wobble' base-pairing, i.e. permitting non-standard base-pairing at the 3rd anti-codon position. The record is from RNAcentral. Lineage: Bacteria; Pseudomonadati; Pseudomonadota; Alphaproteobacteria; Iodidimonadales; Iodidimonadaceae.